GUUCAUUUAGUGUCAAAAAGUUCCUAGAGUAACAAGUACAAAGUGAAUCGAAUAGUGAAGAAAAAAGUGAAAAUGGUAAGUGAAAACGUAGACACAUCAGAUAGUGAGCUUACAACGGCAUUAGAGGAAAUGGGCACGGUGUGUGUUCCCUUUUCUGCAGGUUAAAAAUCAACUUCUGAGAAAUGCAUACAUGCAGAGAAAGAGCAUGCAUUGGUUUCGAAAUAGGACGACCUGAAGCGCAGUGUUUCCUUUUUACGAUAGGAACAUUAAAACCAUCUCAGCAGGCAACAGCUUUCCGAAGCACAGUCGGCCAUAAAUGAAGAUGCCCAGGACUUUUUAUUUGUUAUUUUGCUUGACAGCGCAUUUCGUUAAAUAUGUUUAGUUGUAAGAACUUUAAGAAAUGUGUAACAAUUUAAUUUUUAAGAAAAAAGUUAUGGAACUUUUUAUGUAUAUAUGUACUAUAGAUAAAGAAUAAUAACGAAAUUAUUAAAUUCGUGUAAAUAAACAAUAAAUAUGAUUCGUUCUUAAAA
Drosophila santomea is the source of this 530-nucleotide long non-coding RNA. RefSeq lists it as uncharacterized. Lineage: Eukaryota; Metazoa; Arthropoda; Insecta; Diptera; Drosophilidae. The transcript is spliced from 3 exons. The record is from RefSeq and is a predicted model, not a curated record.